GUCCACGCCCUAAACGAUGUCAACUGGUUGUUGGGAAUUCACUUUCUCAGUAACGAAGCUAACGCGUGAAGUUGACCGCCUGGGGAGUACGGCCGCAAGGUUAAAACUCAAAGGAAUUGACGGGGACCCGCACAAGCGGUGGAUGAUGUGGUUUAAUUCGAUGCAACGCGAAAAACCUUACCCACCUUUGACAUGUACGGAACCUUUUAGAGAUAGAGGGGUGCUCGAAAGAGAACCGUAACACAGGUGCUGCAUGGCUGUCGU
RNAcentral lists this ribosomal RNA (264 nucleotides) under uncultured bacterium. RNAcentral describes it as "partial 16S ribosomal RNA". It matches the Rfam family "Bacterial small subunit ribosomal RNA", at positions 793 to 1055 of the family's 1533-position model. The record is from RNAcentral.